This 329-nucleotide ribosomal RNA is filed under the name uncultured eukaryote. RNAcentral describes it as "partial 18S ribosomal RNA". It matches the Rfam family "Eukaryotic small subunit ribosomal RNA", at positions 1470 to 1796 of the family's 1831-position model. The record is from RNAcentral.
CCCUUAGAUGUUCUGGGCCGCACGCGCGCUACACUGACAGAGCCAACGAGUUCUUUGCCUUGGCCGGAAGGUCUGGGUAAUCUUGUUAAACUCUGUCGUGCUGGGGGUAGAGCAUUGCAAUUAUUGCUCUUCAACGAGGAAUGCCUAGUAAGCGCGUGUCAUCAGCAUGCGUUGAUUACGUCCCUGCCCUUUGUACACACCGCCCGUCGCUACUACCGAUUGAAUGGCUCAGUGAGGCCUUCGGACUGGCUCGGGGAGGUUGGCAACGACCACCCCAAGCCGGAAAGUUCGUCAAACUCGGUCAUUUAGAGGAAGUAAAAGUCGUAACA